CGGCAAAAGCUCAAAUUUGAAAUCUAGCACCUUCGGUGUUCGAGUUGUAAUUUGAAGAAGGUAACCUUGGGAUUGGCUCUUGUCUAUGUUUCUUGGAACAGAACGUCACAGAGGGUGAGAAUCCCGUGCGAUGAGAUGACCAAUUCUAUGUAAGGUGCUUUCGAAGAGUCGAGUUGUUUGGGAAUGCAGCUCUAAGUGGGUGGUAAAUUCCAUCUAAAGCUAAAUAUUGGCGAGAGACCGAUAGCGAACAAGUACAGUGAUGGAAAGAUGAAAAGAACUUUGAAAAGAGAGUGAAAAAGUACGUGAAAUUGUUGAAAGGGAAGGGUAUGAGAUCAGACUUGGUGUUUUGCAACCUUAUCUUCGGAUGGGGCCCCUGCAGUUCAUCGGGCCAGCAUCAGUUUGGAUGGUAGGAUAAUGACAUUGGAAUGUGGCUUGGCUUCGGUUAAGUGUUAUAGCC
This 457-nucleotide ribosomal RNA is filed under the name Suzukiozyma glaebosa. RNAcentral's name for it is "eukaryotic LSU rRNA". It matches the Rfam family "Eukaryotic large subunit ribosomal RNA", at positions 99 to 558 of the family's 3401-position model. The record is from RNAcentral. Lineage: Eukaryota; Fungi; Ascomycota; Pichiomycetes; Serinales; Debaryomycetaceae.